This 347-nucleotide ribosomal RNA is filed under the name Shigella flexneri. Its description in RNAcentral is "bacterial SSU rRNA". It matches the Rfam family "Bacterial small subunit ribosomal RNA", at positions 253 to 592 of the family's 1533-position model. Lineage: Bacteria; Pseudomonadati; Pseudomonadota; Gammaproteobacteria; Enterobacterales; Enterobacteriaceae. The record is from RNAcentral.
UGGGGUAACGGCUCACCUAGGCGACGAUCCCUAGCUGGUCUGAGAGGAUGACCAGCCACACUGGAACUGAGACACGGUCCAGACUCCUACGGGAGGCAGCAGUGGGGAAUAUUGCACAAUGGGCGCAAGCCUGAUGCAGCCAUGCCGCGUGUAUGAAGAAGGCCUUCGGGUUGUAAAGUACUUUCAGCGGGGAGGAAGGGAGUAAAGUUAAUACCUUUGCUCAUUGACGUUACCCGCAGAAGAAGCACCGGCUAACUCCGUGCCAGCAGCCGCGGUAAUACGGAGGGUGCAAGCGUUAAUCGGAAUUACUGGGCGUAAAGCGCACGCAGGCGGUUUGUUAAGUCAGA